Molecule: small nucleolar RNA, 107 nt
Organism: Dioscorea cayenensis subsp. rotundata (Guinea yam)
Lineage: Eukaryota; Viridiplantae; Streptophyta; Magnoliopsida; Dioscoreales; Dioscoreaceae
Source: RefSeq, a predicted model, not a curated record
AUUCCGUAUUCCAGACAUUUUCUCAACACCUCCUUGUACCUUUCCCAUAUAUCAUAUAAGGAUUCAGAUUCCAAUUUGCAAAAAGCGGAGAUAUCACUUAUGAGAUU